AACAGACGAGGAGCUUGCUCCUCUGACGUUAGCGGCGGACGGGUGAGUAACACGUGGAUAACCUACCUAUAAGACUGGGAUAACUUCGGGAAACCGGAGCUAAUACCGGAUAAUAUAUUGAACCGCAUGGUUCAAUAGUGAAAGACGGUUUUGCUGUCACUUAUAGAUGGAUCCGCGCCGCAUUAGCUAGUUGGUAAGGUAACGGCUUACCAAGGCAACGAUGCGUAGCCGACCUGAGAGGGUGAUCGGCCACACUGGAACUGAGACACGGUCCAGACUCCUACGGGAGGCAGCAGUAGGGAAUCUUCCGCAAUGGGCGAAAGCCUGACGGAGCAACGCCGUGUGAGUGAUGAAGGUCUUCGGAUCGUAAAACUCUGUUAUUAGGGAAGAAUAAAUGUGUAAGUAACUAUGCACGUCUUGACGGUACCUAAUCAGAAAGCCACGGCUAACUACGUGCCAGCAGCCGCGGUAAUACGUAGGUGGCAAGCGUUAUCCGGAAUUAUUGGGCGUAAAGCGCGCGUAGGCGGUUUUUUAAGUCUGAUGUGAAAGCCCACGGCUCAACCGUGGAGGGUCAUUGGAAACUGGAAAACUUGAGUGCAGAAGAGGAAAGUGGAAUUCCAUGUGUAGCGGUGAAGUGCGCAGAGAUAUGGAGGAACACCAGUGGCGAAGGCGACUUUCUGGUCUGUAACUGACGCUGAUGUGCGAAAGCGUGGGGAUCAAACAGGAUUA
This 729-nucleotide ribosomal RNA is filed under the name uncultured Staphylococcus sp. Its description in RNAcentral is "bacterial SSU rRNA". It matches the Rfam family "Bacterial small subunit ribosomal RNA", at positions 68 to 780 of the family's 1533-position model. Lineage: Bacteria; Bacillati; Bacillota; Bacilli; Caryophanales; Staphylococcaceae. The record is from RNAcentral.